UUAGAGCGGCGAACGGGUGAGUAACACGUGAAUAACCUGCCUUUUAGUUGGGGAUAACCAUUCUAACGGAUGGCUAAUACCGAAUAUCGUGGUCUAUCGCAUGAUGGAUUUACUAAAGCCUUCGGGCGCUAGAAGAUGGAUUCGCGGCGCAUUAGCUUGUUGGUGAGGUAACGGCUCACCAAGGCGACGAUGCGUAGCCGGCCUGAGAGGGUGAUCGGCCACAUUGGGACUGAGAUACGGCCCAGACUCC
This 250-nucleotide ribosomal RNA is filed under the name uncultured bacterium. RNAcentral's name for it is "partial 16S ribosomal RNA". It matches the Rfam family "Bacterial small subunit ribosomal RNA", at positions 90 to 339 of the family's 1533-position model. The record is from RNAcentral.